AGCGAACGCUGGCGGCAGGCCUAACACAUGCAAGUCGAACGAACCUUUCGGGGUUAGUGGCGGACGGGUGAGUAACACGUGGGAACGUGCCUUUAGGUUCGGAAUAACUCAGGGAAACUUGUGCUAAUACCGAAUGUGCCCUCCGGGGGAAAGUUUAAUCGCCUUUAGAGCGGCCCGCGUCUGAUUAGCUAGUUGGUUGAGGUAAUGGCUCACCAAGGCGACGAUCAGUAGCUGGGCUGAGAGGAUGAUCAGCCACAUUGGGACUGAGACACGGCCCAAACUCCUACGGGAUGCAGCAGUGGGGAAUCUUGCGCAAUGGGCGAAAGCCUGACGCAGCCAUGCCGCGUGAAUGAUGAAGGUCUUAGGAUUGUAAAAUUCUUUCACCGGGGACGAUAAUGACGGUACCCUGAGAAGAAGCCCCGGCUAACUUCGUG
This 434-nucleotide ribosomal RNA is filed under the name uncultured bacterium. RNAcentral's name for it is "partial 16S ribosomal RNA". It matches the Rfam family "Bacterial small subunit ribosomal RNA", at positions 29 to 507 of the family's 1533-position model. The record is from RNAcentral.